UCGGGAAUUUUGGGCAAUGGGCGAAAGCCUGACCCAGCAACGCCGCGUGAAGGAUGAAGUAUUUCGGUAUGUAAACUUCGAAAGAAUAGGAAGAAUAAAUGACGGUACUAUUUAUAAGGUCCGGCUAACUACGUGCCAGCAGCCGCGGUAAUACGUAGGGACCAAGCGUUGUUCGGAUUUACUGGGCGUAAAGGGCGCGUAGGCGGCAUGACAAGUCACUUGUGAAAUCUCUGGGCUUAACCCAGAACGGCCAAGUGAUACUGUCGCGCUAGAGUGCAGAAGGGGCAAUCGGAAUUCUUGGUGUAGCGGUGAAAUGCGUAGAUAUCGGAAGGAACAUCGGUGGCGAAGGCGUCUACCUGGCCUAAUACUGACACUGAGGCACGAAAGCGUGGGGAGCAAACAGGAUUAGAUACCCAUGUAGUCCCUGAGCGGGCUGGCAAGGCGCAU
RNAcentral lists this ribosomal RNA (447 nucleotides) under uncultured bacterium. RNAcentral describes it as "bacterial SSU rRNA". It matches the Rfam family "Bacterial small subunit ribosomal RNA", at positions 355 to 825 of the family's 1533-position model. The record is from RNAcentral.